This 291-nucleotide long non-coding RNA is filed under the name Sorghum bicolor (sorghum). RNAcentral describes it as "long non-coding RNA (SBIC_LNC018036)". The record is from RNAcentral. Lineage: Eukaryota; Viridiplantae; Streptophyta; Magnoliopsida; Poales; Poaceae.
CCAAUUCCUGAGAAGUUCUGAAUGUUUCCAUUUUUUUAGAAAAAGAAAUUUACUAAAUCACCAUAAAUCUUUUGUUAUUUUGUCUGAUUUAAUAACAUUGGUUAUCCACAUGAGUUUUGUAGGCCCAGAGGACUGGCUUCUUGGAGGCUUGGAGCUAAUGUAACAUAUAUCUAAGGAUCGAUGGAUUUAGAUACGGUAAUGCUCCUUCCAGGGCGUUCGGAUAGAUCGGACAGAUCCGCACGACUCGACUGAGCCACGAGCACGCGCCCUCAGCUCCUUAUCCGUUCCCAC